This 436-nucleotide ribosomal RNA is filed under the name uncultured Nitrospiraceae bacterium. Its description in RNAcentral is "bacterial SSU rRNA". It matches the Rfam family "Bacterial small subunit ribosomal RNA", at positions 342 to 795 of the family's 1533-position model. Lineage: Bacteria; Pseudomonadati; Nitrospirota; Nitrospiria; Nitrospirales; Nitrospiraceae. The record is from RNAcentral.
CGGGAGGCAGCAGUGGGGAAUCUUGCGCAAUGGGGGAAACCCUGACGCAGCGACGCCGCGUGGAGGAUGAAGGUCUUCGGGUUGUAAACUCCUUUUCUCAGGGAAAAUAAUGAUGGUACCUGAGGAAUAAGCCACGGCUAACUCUGUGCCAGCAGCCGCGGUAAGACAGAGGUGGCGAGCGUUGUUCGGAAUUACUGGGCUUAAAGGGCGAGUAGGCGGUAGAGCAAGUCUGAGGUGGAAUCCUAUGGCUUAACCAUAGAAUUGCCUUAGAAACUGUUUUACUUGAGUCAGUGAGGGGAGGGCGGAAUUCCUGGUGUAGCGGUGAAAUGCGUAGAUAUCAGGAGGAAGGCCUGUGGCGAAGGCGGCCCUCUGGCACUGCACUGACGCUGAGGCGCGAAAGCGUGGGUAGCAAACAGGAUUAGAUACCCCUGUAGUC